GACGAACGCUGGCGGCGUGUCUAAUACAUGCAAGUAGAACGCUGAAGGAGGAGCUUGCUUCUCUGGAUGAGUUGCGAACGGGUGAGUAACGCGUAGGUAACCUGCCUGGUAGCGGGGGAUAACUAUUGGAAACGAUAGCUAAUACCGCAUAAGAGUAGAUGUCGCAUGACAUUUGCUUAAAAGGUGCAAUUGCAUCACUACCAGAUGGACCUGCGUUGUAUUAGCUAGUUGGUGAGGUAACGGCUCACCAAGGCAACGAUACAUAGCCGACCUGAGAGGGUGAUCGGCCACACUGGGACUGAGACACGGCCCAGACUCCUACGGGAGGCAGCAGUAGGGAAUCUUCGGCAAUGGACGGAAGUCUGACCGAGCAACGCCGCGUGAGGGAAGAAGGUUUUCGGAUCGUAAAGCUCUGUUGUAAGAGAAGAACGAGUGUGAGAGUGGAAAGUUCACACUGUGACGGUAGCUUACCAGAAAGGGACGGCUAACUACGUG
Molecule: ribosomal RNA, 495 nt
Filed under: uncultured bacterium
Lineage: Bacteria
Description: partial 16S ribosomal RNA
Rfam family: Bacterial small subunit ribosomal RNA
Source: RNAcentral